GGUUAAGCGACUAAGCGUACACGGUGGAUGCCCUGGCAGUCAGAGGCGAUGAAGGACGUGCUAAUCUGCGAUAAGCGUCGGUAAGGUGAUAUGAACCGUUAUAACCGGCGAUUUCCGAAUGGGGAAACCCAGUGUGUUUCGACACACUAUCAUUAACUGAAUCCAUAGGUUAAUGAGGCGAACCGGGGGAACUGAAACAUCUAAGUACCCCGAGGAAAAGAAAUCAACCGAGAUUCCCCCAGUAGCGGCGAGCGAACGGGGAGCAGCCCAGAGCCUGAAUCAGUGUGUGUGUUAGUGGAAGCGUCUGGAAAGGCGCGCGAUACAGGGUGACAGCCCCGUACACAAAAAUGCACAUGCUGUGAGCUCGAUGAGUAGGGCGGGACACGUGGUAUCCUGUCUGAAUAUGGGGGGACCAUCCUCCAAGGCUAAAUACUCCUGACUGACCGAUAGUGAACCAGUACCGUGAGGGAAAGGCGAAAAGAACCCCGGCGAGGGGAGUGAAAAAGAACCUGAAACCGUGUACGUACAAGCAGUGGGAGCACGCUUAGGCGUGUGACUGCGUACCUUUUGUAUAAUGGGUCAGCGACUUAUAUUCUGUAGCAAGGUUAACCGAAUAGGGGAGCCGAAGGGAAACCGAGUCUUAACUGGGCGUUAAGUUGCAGGGUAUAGACCCGAAACCCGGUGAUCUAGCCAUGGGCAGGUUGAAGGUUGGGUAACACUAACUGGAGGACCGAACCGACUAAUGUUGAAAAAUUAGCGGAUGACUUGUGGCUGGGGGUGAAAGGCCAAUCAAACCGGGAGAUAGCUGGUUCUCCCCGAAAGCUAUUUAGGUAGCGCCUCGUGAAUUCAUCUCCGGGGGUAGAGCACUGUUUCGGCAAGGGGGUCAUCCCGACUUACCAACCCGAUGCAAACUGCGAAUACCGGAGAAUGUUAUCACGGGAGACACACGGCGGGUGCUAACGUCCGUCGUGAAGAGGGAAACAACCCAGACCGCCAGCUAAGGUCCCAAAGUCAUGGUUAAGUGGGAAACGAUGUGGGAAGGCCCAGACAGCCAGGAUGUUGGCUUAGAAGCAGCCAUCAUUUAAAGAAAGCGUAAUAGCUCACUGGUCGAGUCGGCCUGCGCGGAAGAUGUAACGGGGCUAAACCAUGCACCGAAGCUGCGGCAGCGACACUAUGUGUUGUUGGGUAGGGGAGCGUUCUGUAAGCCUGUGAAGGUGUGCUGUGAGGCAUGCUGGAGGUAUCAGAAGUGCGAAUGCUGACAUAAGUAACGAUAAAGCGGGUGAAAAGCCCGCUCGCCGGAAGACCAAGGGUUCCUGUCCAACGUUAAUCGGGGCAGGGUGAGUCGACCCCUAAGGCGAGGCCGAAAGGCGUAGUCGAUGGGAAACAGGUUAAUAUUCCUGUACUUGGUGUUACUGCGAAGGGGGGACGGAGAAGGCUAUGUUGGCCGGGCGACGGUUGUCCCGGUUUAAGCGUGUAGGCUGGUUUUCCAGGCAAAUCCGGAAAAUCAAGGCUGAGGCGUGAUGACGAGGCACUACGGUGCUGAAGCAACAAAUGCCCUGCUUCCAGGAAAAGCCUCUAAGCAUCAGGUAACAUCAAAUCGUACCCCAAACCGACACAGGUGGUCAGGUAGAGAAUACCAAGGCGCUUGAGAGAACUCGGGUGAAGGAACUAGGCAAAAUGGUGCCGUAACUUCGGGAGAAGGCACGCUGAUAUGUAGGUGAGGUCCCUCGCGGAUGGAGCUGAAAUCAGUCGAAGAUACCAGCUGGCUGCAACUGUUUAUUAAAAACACAGCACUGUGCAAACACGAAAGUGGACGUAUACGGUGUGACGCCUGCCCGGUGCCGGAAGGUUAAUUGAUGGGGUUAGCGCAAGCGAAGCUCUUGAUCGAAGCCCCGGUAAACGGCGGCCGUAACUAUAACGGUCCUAAGGUAGCGAAAUUCCUUGUCGGGUAAGUUCCGACCUGCACGAAUGGCGUAAUGAUGGCCAGGCUGUCUCCACCCGAGACUCAGUGAAAUUGAACUCGCUGUGAAGAUGCAGUGUACCCGCGGCAAGACGGAAAGACCCCGUGAACCUUUACUAUAGCUUGACACUGAACAUUGAGCCUUGAUGUGUAGGAUAGGUGGGAGGCUUAGAAGUGUGGACGCCAGUCUGCAUGGAGCCGACCUUGAAAUACCACCCUUUAAUGUUUGAUGUUCUAACGUUGACCCGUAAUCCGGGUUGCGGACAGUGUCUGGUGGGUAGUUUGACUGGGGCGGUCUCCUCCUAAAGAGUAACGGAGGAGCACGAAGGUUGGCUAAUCCUGGUCGGACAUCAGGAGGUUAGUGCAAUGGCAUAAGCCAGCUUGACUGCGAGCGUGACGGCGCGAGCAGGUGCGAAAGCAGGUCAUAGUGAUCCGGUGGUUCUGAAUGGAAGGGCCAUCGCUCAACGGAUAAAAGGUACUCCGGGGAUAACAGGCUGAUACCGCCCAAGAGUUCAUAUCGACGGCGGUGUUUGGCACCUCGAUGUCGGCUCAUCACAUCCUGGGGCUGAAGUAGGUCCCAAGGGUAUGGCUGUUCGCCAUUUAAAGUGGUACGCGAGCUGGGUUUAGAACGUCGUGAGACAGUUCGGUCCCUAUCUGCCGUGGGCGCUGGAGAACUGAGGGGGGCUGCUCCUAGUACGAGAGGACCGGAGUGGACGCAUCACUGGUGUUCGGGUUGUCAUGCCAAUGGCACUGCCCGGUAGCUAAAUGCGGAAGAGAUAAGUGCUGAAAGCAUCUAAGCACGAAACUUGCCCCGAGAUGAGUUCUCCCUGACCCUUUAAGGGUCCUGAAGGAACGUUGAAGACGACGACGUUGAUAGGCCGAGUGUGUAAGCGCAGCGAUGCGUUGAGCUAACCGGUACUAAUGAACCGUGAGGCUUAACCUU
This 2903-nucleotide ribosomal RNA is filed under the name Escherichia coli. RNAcentral's name for it is "23S ribosomal RNA". It matches the Rfam family "Bacterial large subunit ribosomal RNA". The record is from RNAcentral. Lineage: Bacteria; Pseudomonadati; Pseudomonadota; Gammaproteobacteria; Enterobacterales; Enterobacteriaceae.